GCUGAGAUGACCAACCUUUGCUAGAAUGAGUAUCGAAGAUGCAACUAUUAUAUUGAGCUAUAAUGCCUUAAGCCUACCAAAGAAAAAAGAAAAGAAAAUACAUAAUGAGACACUAGUCCCAAUGAGUGGGUAAUCCAUCUAAUUGAGGAGAAACAGAAAAAAUUGACUGUAAUACUCAUGAUACAUACAUCAUAAAUAAUUGAUA
RNAcentral lists this long non-coding RNA (205 nucleotides) under Elaeis guineensis (African oil palm). RNAcentral's name for it is "long non-coding RNA (EGUI_LNC036383)". Lineage: Eukaryota; Viridiplantae; Streptophyta; Magnoliopsida; Arecales; Arecaceae. The record is from RNAcentral.